Nelumbo nucifera (sacred lotus) is the source of this 74-nucleotide non-coding RNA. Lineage: Eukaryota; Viridiplantae; Streptophyta; Magnoliopsida; Proteales; Nelumbonaceae. The record is from Rfam.
GGUCCCGUAGCUCAGUUGGUUAGAGCAUUGGUUUCAUGAGCCGAAGGUCGCGGGUUCGAGCCCCGCCGGGAUCA